RNAcentral lists this long non-coding RNA (256 nucleotides) under Elaeis guineensis (African oil palm). Its description in RNAcentral is "long non-coding RNA (EGUI_LNC024021)". The record is from RNAcentral. Lineage: Eukaryota; Viridiplantae; Streptophyta; Magnoliopsida; Arecales; Arecaceae.
CAUGUCCUUUGGCUGAGCCGUCUCAAAUCUGUGAUUGAACUCGUUGCUCAUGGCAGCCAGCAUGAUGCAGUGCACCGUGGUUCGGUCACUGAGCCACUUUUAGUAAGUGUCUCUGACUGUUCUACGUGCAUUGGCAACUGGCUCCUCAAAUGAAGGAUCCGUUAUCACAUAUAGGAUUCGUUCAUGCUCCAGGACUAUCUUCAACUUUCAGUACCGGCUACCGAAGUUGGGUCCCAUCAAAUUUUCAUUGUCCAAC